CAGCAGUGGGGAAUAUUGCACAAUGGGCGCAAGCCUGAUGCAGCAACGCCGUGUGAGUGAAGAAGGUUUUCGGAUCGUAAAACUCUGUCCUAAGGGAAGAAACAAAUGACGGUACCUUAGGAGGAAGCCCCGGCUAACUACGUGCCAGCAGCCGCGGUAAUACGUAGGGGGCAAGCGUUAUCCGGAAUCACUGGGCGUAAAGGGUGCGUAGGCGGCUUAGCAAGCCAGGGGUGAAAGGCAUUGGCUCAACCAAUGUAAGCCUUUGGAACUGUUAAGCUUGAGUGCAGGAGAGGUAAGUGGAAUUCCUAGUGUAGAGGUGAAAUUCGUAGAUAUUAGGAGGAACACCAGUGGCGAAGGCGACUUACUGGACUGUAACUGACGCUGAUGCACGAAAGCGUGGGUAGCGAACAGGAUUAGAUACCCUGGUAG
RNAcentral lists this ribosomal RNA (429 nucleotides) under uncultured bacterium. RNAcentral describes it as "bacterial SSU rRNA". It matches the Rfam family "Bacterial small subunit ribosomal RNA", at positions 349 to 793 of the family's 1533-position model. The record is from RNAcentral.